RNAcentral lists this ribosomal RNA (624 nucleotides) under uncultured Clostridium sp. RNAcentral's name for it is "bacterial SSU rRNA". It matches the Rfam family "Bacterial small subunit ribosomal RNA", at positions 73 to 708 of the family's 1533-position model. The record is from RNAcentral. Lineage: Bacteria; Bacillati; Bacillota; Clostridia; Eubacteriales; Clostridiaceae.
AAAUCUUUCGGGAAUGGAAAUGAAAUGAAAGUGGCGAACGGGUGAGUAACACGUGAGCAACCUACCUUACACAGGGGGAUAGCCGUUGGAAACGACGAUUAAUACCGCAUGAGACCACAGAAUCGCAUGAUAUAGGGGUCAAAGAUUUAUCGGUGUAAGAAGGGCUCGCGUCUGAUUAGCUAGUUGGAAGGGUAAAGGCCUACCAAGGCGACGAUCAGUAGCCGGUCUGAGAGGAUGAACGGCCACAUUGGAACUGAGACACGGUCCAAACUCCUACGGGAGGCAGCAGUGGGGAAUAUUGCACAAUGGGGGGAACCCUGAUGCAGCGACGCCGCGUGAGCGAAGAAGGUUUUCGAAUCGUAAAGCUCUGUCCUAUGAGAAGAUAAUGACGGUAUCAUAGGAGGAAGCCCCGGCUAAAUACGUGCCAGCAGCCGCGGUAAUACGUAUGGGGCGAGCGUUGUCCGGAAUUAUUGGGCGUAAAGGGUACGUAGGCGGUUUUUUAAGUCAGGUGUGAAAGCGUGAGGCUUAACCUCAUUAAGCACUUGAAACUGGAAGACUUGAGUGAAGGAGAGGAAAGUGGAAUUCCUAGUGUAGCGGUGAAAUGCGUAGAUAUUAGGAGGAAUA